GGUGAGAUGGCCGAGUGGUUUAAGGCGCACCCCUGCUAAGGGUGUAUGUGGUUUUAUCUACAUCGAGGGUUCGAAUCUCUCUCUCACCG
RNAcentral lists this transfer RNA (89 nucleotides) under Enterobacteriaceae endosymbiont of Plateumaris rustica. RNAcentral describes it as "tRNA-Ser". It matches the Rfam family "tRNA". Rfam says of the family: Transfer RNA (tRNA) molecules are approximately 80 nucleotides in length. The record is from RNAcentral. Lineage: Bacteria; Pseudomonadati; Pseudomonadota; Gammaproteobacteria; Enterobacterales; Enterobacteriaceae.